RNAcentral lists this ribosomal RNA (743 nucleotides) under uncultured Methanoculleus sp. Its description in RNAcentral is "bacterial SSU rRNA". It matches the Rfam family "Archaeal small subunit ribosomal RNA", at positions 85 to 828 of the family's 1478-position model. The record is from RNAcentral. Lineage: Archaea; Methanobacteriati; Methanobacteriota; Methanomicrobia; Methanomicrobiales; Methanomicrobiaceae.
ACGGCUCAGUAACACGUGGAUAACCUGCCCUAAGGAAGGGGAUACCCUCGGGAAACUGAGGAUAAUACCCUAUAGGAUACCGAUGCUGGAAUGCCCGGUAUCCCAAAGCUCCGGCGCCUUAGGAUGGAUCUGCGGCCGAUUAGGUCGUUGUUGGGGUAACGGCCCAACAAGCCGAUAAUCGGUACGGGUUGUGGGAGCAAGAGCCCGGAGUUGGAUUCUGAGACACGAAUCCAGGCCCUACGGGGCGCAGCAGGCGCGAAAACUUUACAAUGCGGGCAACCGUGAUAAGGGAACCUCGAGUGCCUGUACAUGCAGGCUGUCUGGGUGUCUAAAACACACCCAAAGAAAGGGCCGGGCAAGACCGGUGCCAGCCGCCGCGGUAAUACCGGCGGCUCGAGUGGUGGCCACUUUUAUUGGGCUUAAAGCGUUCGUAGCUGGGUUGUUAAGUCUCUUGGGAAAUCUGGCAGCUUAACUGUCAGGCGUCUAAGAGAUACUGGCAAUCUAGGAACCGGGAGAGGUGAGGGGUACUUCGGGGGUAGGAGUGAAAUCCUGUAAUCCUCGAGGGACCACCUGUGGCGAAGGCGCCUCACCAGAACGGCUUCGACAGUGAGGGACGAAAGCUGGGGGAGCAAACCGGAUUAGAUACCCGGGUAGUCCCAGCCGUAAACGAUGCSCYUCUGCUUUCGAUGACCACGAGUCAUCGAGGUGCCGAAGGGAAACCGUGAAACGCCGCCSCCYKGGAA